This 388-nucleotide ribosomal RNA is filed under the name uncultured bacterium. RNAcentral's name for it is "bacterial SSU rRNA". It matches the Rfam family "Bacterial small subunit ribosomal RNA", at positions 28 to 418 of the family's 1533-position model. The record is from RNAcentral.
GAUGAACGCUGGCGGCGUGCUUAACACAUGCAAGUCGAACGUGAGGGUGCAGCGAUGUGCCUGAAAGUGGCGAACGGGUGAGUAACACGUAGAUGACCUGCCCUGGAGUGGGGGAUAACCAUUGGAAACGGUGGCUAAUACCGCAUACAUCCGGAGAACUGGGAAGUUUUCUGGGGUAAAGCUCUGGUGCUUCAGGAGGGUCUGCGUCCGAUUAGCUAGUUGGUGGGGUAAAGGCUCACCAAGGCGACGAUCGGUAGCUGGUCUGAGAGGACGAUCAGCCACACGGGAACUGAGACACGGUCCCGACUCCUACGGGGGGCAGCAGUGAGGAAUAUUGGGCAAUGGGCGAAGCCUGACCCAGCAACGCCGCGUGGAGGAAGACGGCCUU